CAAGAUCGGAUCAGUCAGAUCACGAUCGAACGCAAUACGUCACAGAGACUUUAAGUCCUGAUGAUAUGGCGAGCCUCGCCGUCCACGUUUCUCUUUCUUCAAGAAGACAAAAAACCGCGUCGACCGGUUCCCGAAUGGGCCCGUAGCUCAGUUGGUUAGAGCACACGCUUGAAAGCGGGG
This 180-nucleotide unclassified non-coding RNA is filed under the name uncultured Rhizobiaceae bacterium. RNAcentral describes it as "partial 16S-23S ribosomal RNA intergenic spacer". Lineage: Bacteria; Pseudomonadati; Pseudomonadota; Alphaproteobacteria; Hyphomicrobiales; Rhizobiaceae. The record is from RNAcentral.